AUAUCAAUAAGCGGAGGAAAAGAAACUAACGAAGGAUUCCCCUAGUAACUGCGAGUGAAGAGGGAAAAGCUCAAAUUUAAAAUCUGGCUGGCUCUUCCGCAUCGUCCGAGUUGUAAUUUAGAGAAGCGUCUUCCGCGCCGGAACCGUGCACUAAGUCUCCUGGAAUGGAGCGUCAUAGAGGGUGAGAAUCCCGUCUUUGGCACGGAAUCCCCCAGGUGCUUCUGUCGAUGCGCUCUCGAAGAGUCGAGUUGUUUGGGAAUGCAGCUCAAAAUGGGUGGUGAACUCCAUCUAAAGCUAAAUAUUGGCGAGAGACCGAUAGCGAACAAGUACCGUGAGGGAAAGAUGAAAAGCACUUUGGAAAGAGAGUGAAACAGUAC
This 377-nucleotide ribosomal RNA is filed under the name uncultured fungus. RNAcentral's name for it is "eukaryotic LSU rRNA". It matches the Rfam family "Eukaryotic large subunit ribosomal RNA", at positions 40 to 398 of the family's 3401-position model. The record is from RNAcentral. Lineage: Eukaryota; Fungi.